CUCUUUUGUAGUUUAUCAAAAAAAUAUCACUUUUUCACCGUGAAGAAGAUUUUUUUCCAAAAGUGU
Molecule: transfer RNA, 66 nt
Filed under: Acizzia uncatoides
Lineage: Eukaryota; Metazoa; Arthropoda; Insecta; Hemiptera; Psyllidae
Description: tRNA-Glu
Source: RNAcentral